This 757-nucleotide ribosomal RNA is filed under the name Kocuria rhizophila. RNAcentral's name for it is "bacterial SSU rRNA". It matches the Rfam family "Bacterial small subunit ribosomal RNA", at positions 55 to 819 of the family's 1533-position model. Lineage: Bacteria; Bacillati; Actinomycetota; Actinomycetes; Micrococcales; Micrococcaceae. The record is from RNAcentral.
AUGCAAGUCGAACGCUGAAGCUUGGUGCUUGCACUGGGUGGAUGAGUGGCGAACGGGUGAGUAAUACGUGAGUAACCUGCCCUUGACUCUGGGAUAAGCCUGGGAAACUGGGUCUAAUACUGGAUACGACGGCGCAUCGCAUGGUGUGUUGUGGAAAGGGUUUUACUGGUUUUGGAUGGGCUCACGGCCUAUCAGCUUGUUGGUGGGGUAAUGGCUCACCAAGGCGACGACGGGUAGCCGGCCUGAGAGGGUGACCGGCCACACUGGGACUGAGACACGGCCCAGACUCCUACGGGAGGCAGCAGUGGGGAAUAUUGCACAAUGGGCGGAAGCCUGAUGCAGCGACGCCGCGUGAGGGAUGACGGCCUUCGGGUUGUAAACCUCUUUCAGCACGGAAGAAGCGAGAGUGACGGUACGUGCAGAAGAAGCGCCGGCUAACUACGUGCCAGCAGCCGCGGUAAUACGUAGGGCGCAAGCGUUGUCCGGAAUUAUUGGGCGUAAAGAGCUCGUAGGCGGUUUGUCGCGUCUGCUGUGAAAGCCCGGGGCUUAACCCCGGGUGUGCAGUGGGUACGGGCAGACUUGAGUGCAGUAGGGGAGACUGGAAUUCCUGGUGUAGCGGUGAAAUGCGCAGAUAUCAGGAGGAACACCGAUGGCGAAGGCAGGUCUCUGGGCUGUUACUGACGCUGAGGAGCGAAAGCAUGGGGAGCGAACAGGAUUAGAUACCCUGGUAGUCCAUGCCGUAAACGUUGGGCACUAG